GCGCUGGGGUACGGCGGCAGAGCGGAGUGUUCACCGGGGCUUUCUGCGGGUGGAGGGGUGGAGAGGUGGAGGUAGAUGGGCGCGCUGGGUGCAGUUGGCACUGUGGGUGUGGGAACCCUCUGCAGGACCACAUAUGUGCAUACCUGCCCCGUCUGUCUGUCCGUUCUGCCCUCGCUUUGCUCAUGCGCUCCUGCAGGCAGCAGAUGAUGAAGGACACAGACAUGGCGAGGAUGAUGAUGCUGCUUACUACCGAUGCCAGUACGGCCACUCUCAACCCGCGGUCCUCUGGUUUGGGAAUGGCUACCAUAUUUACACAAUAGUCCACAUUGAAAAUCUGGGAUUUAAUUAGUAGGAGUGCAUUUCUUAGGUGUUUUUAUCUCUUAAAACAGAAAUGAUGGCAGUGAACACAGACCCUCACAGUCAGGUGGGUAGUUGCUCCACUGAGCGGUGUCGCUACGUAGGACACAGGUGAUCUUCUCGCUGCCCACCAGCUGGUACCCCUCGAGGCACCAGAACACCAACUCUGUGCCCACGAACAUCCCAGCGCCCUUCUCUACAUAGAAGGAACCUCGCCGAGGGGGAAACAGCGUCGUGCAGCUCAGGCCUGCAAAUACAAAGAACAGAUGUAUCCACAUGGUGUGUUCUCCUGCGCUCUAUCCCAUAAUCCACCUCUCCUCCAGUCUCUCUACAUUCCCACCGAGGAUUCAGCAUCUUCUGUGUUCUCCUACCGAGUUUUCAUCAUUGCACUGUCCAUCUCUACUGUCAAUAUACAGUCAAACGGAGCUCAUAUUGACUGUGCUGGAGUCAGUGUGAUUAAGCUGGCAGGGUCACUGGAUGGUGUUUAUUGUUCACACCAGUUCCAGUCCUGUGCUGGUCUCAUUAAGCCCGGCUUAACUGGCAUGGCAAUGCUGCUAGCAUUAAGCAAUCUGACUCCAUGGCAAAAUAAAUAAAUUAACUCAA
Long non-coding RNA from Cyprinus carpio (common carp), 960 nucleotides. RefSeq lists it as uncharacterized. NCBI's taxonomy places the organism in Eukaryota, Metazoa, Chordata, Actinopteri, Cypriniformes, Cyprinidae. The record is from RefSeq and is a predicted model, not a curated record. The transcript is spliced from 3 exons.